UGAGUAACACGUAUCCAACCUGCCGUCUACUCUUGGACAGCCUUCUGAAAGGAAGAUUAAUACAAGAUGGCAUCAUGAGUCCGCAUGUUCACAUGAUUAAAGGUAUUCCGGUAGACGAUGGGGAUGCGUUCCAUUAGAUAGUAGGCGGGGUAACGGCCCACCAAGACUACGAUGGAUAGGGGUUCUGAGAGGAAGGUCCCCCACAUUGGAACUGAGACACGGUCCAA
RNAcentral lists this ribosomal RNA (227 nucleotides) under uncultured bacterium. RNAcentral's name for it is "partial 16S ribosomal RNA". It matches the Rfam family "Bacterial small subunit ribosomal RNA", at positions 107 to 334 of the family's 1533-position model. The record is from RNAcentral.